This 449-nucleotide ribosomal RNA is filed under the name uncultured bacterium. RNAcentral describes it as "partial 16S ribosomal RNA". It matches the Rfam family "Bacterial small subunit ribosomal RNA", at positions 29 to 523 of the family's 1533-position model. The record is from RNAcentral.
AACGAACGCUGGCGGCAUGCCUAACACAUGCAAGUCGAACGAGACCUUCGGGUCUAGUGGCGCACGGGUGCGUAACGCGUGGGAGUCUGCCCUUUGCUACGGAAUGACUCAGAGAAAUUUGUGCUAAUACCGUAUAAUGUCUACGGACCAAAGAUUUAUCGGCAAGGGAUGAGCCCGCGUAAGAUUAGCUUGUUGGUGGGGUAAAGGCCUACCAAGGCGACGAUCUUUAGCUGGUCUGAGAGGAUGAUCAGCCACACUGGGACUGAGACACGGCCCAGACUCCUACGGGAGGCAGCAGUGGGGAAUAUUGGACAAUGGGCGGAAGCCUGAUCCAGCAAUGCCGCGUGAGUGAUGAAGGCCUUAGGGUUGUAAAGCUCUUUUACCAGGGAUGAUAAUGACAGUACCUGGAGAAUAAGCUCCGGCUAACUCCGUGCCAGCAGCCGCAGUAA